CAUUUGUUUUGUGUCAGAAACUCAUAUUAUGUUAAAAAAAAUUGAUCGCAAUCCAAAUUCAAAGCUGUAUCAAGCUUGAAUGUUGUGUCCAUACUUGCCCCAACUGUUCAGGGUUCGACUUGUGCCGUCGUAUAAAGCUGCGCCCUUCGAAGCACCUGGUUACCCAUGAAAUCCACAAAUAUUGGUAUCCAACGAAAUAAUAAUAAAUCCACAGUAUAUUUUUUCGACAGUAACUGCCACCCACAAUUAAAAAAGAAUGAUUAAUUUAUUAUUGUGUCUUUUCUAGGUAUAUAUGCCAACAGACAAGCCAUCAGGGAACAUAUCAGCAAGGAUACAGAGAUCACGAUUAUCAAAACUUUAAAGACAGAUUUAAAUGAUAUAUUUCAGACAAUCUUAGAGUCAAAGUUAAAAUAGGGCCAAUAUUUAUAGAAUUUGUUAUAAUUCAAAAUAGUAUGUUAUGAUAAACUUUUAGAUCUGAUAGUUUAGAAUGUUAUAAAUUGAAUUACCUUUAUCUAUAUUGUGAAAUAAGAUUGUUACCUAUUUGUAUAUUGGAUUACCUCUUAUAAAUAAUGUUAGUCAAAAUCUUAAGUUUAGUUAAAGCGUUAACAGUUUUCAGAUUGUGUAUUAACUUAACUGCCAGUAUUUAUAUUUGUAAGUAACUUUAUUUUUCAUAUCUGAAUAUUUACAAUUUUGUGAAUUUGAAAAACAUCUACCAAUAAUUGUAUUGUGAAAUUCAAUUCUUUUUCUUUUAUGAUUUUUCUGAAGAAAAAAAACCACUUUAAACUUGCUCUACUAAAAGGGUGAAUAUAGAAGUGUGCUUUUGAAGAAUUACAGCCAAUUCCAUUGAGUGUGUAGGAUGUAAUAUCUUUGGUUAGCUUGCUUACUAGCUGAACUGUGAAGUCAUUCUUAGGUUAGGUAAACUGUACUACUUUAAGAGUAAACUAGUCUGACAGCUAACCAAUCUAUCUGUCUGUUGGACUAGGCUAUUUCGAAAGGAGGGUAGUAUACUUGACCUUAUAUUGACUUCACGGUUCAGCCAGCAAGCAAGCUAACCAAAGAUUAACCAUUGCCUACACACUCAAUGGAAUCAGCUGUAAUCAUAAUUGAUAAUUGAUAUUUGGAGUGGAUAUGUUUAUAAGUUCUUGUAAUGUAUUAUUCAUUCCCAUAUUUGACAUAAGCAGCAAUGAAAUGUUAAGCAAUGCAGUCAUAUGGCAUAGCAACAAAAAACGAUUGGUUUUUAUGUCUUUUUUUUUUUUUAAUUUUGCUUCAAAGCUAGUAAAAUACACAGCUUACAUAAUUUUUAGAUGAGUCAAAAUUUUCUUAGUUCACAAAUCUUGGAUUUUGCUUCUGUCUCAUGGAUACUUCUUUGUAACAUUGUUAGAUGUUUCGAAUGAUGUAGUAACUAGUCUAAAUGUGCAAUAAACAAUACCACAAUGUUAAUGAAACUAACUAUUGUAGCUGAAUGUUAUUGUAUUUGGUUUGUUUACAUUAUACAUUUAUGUGAUUGUGCAUGCUGACUAAUAUUACAUUACAGUAUUUCAUAAUAAUGAUCAUAAUCUUAGGCAAAUAAUACACCUGUGUAUUAAAUUGUGAAAGUUACUCUUUUAAAUAUAUUUUAUAUGAUCUUUCUUUGUUUUUGUAAACCUUUACAUAUCUGUUAAGUAUAUUUUUUUAUUAUGUUCAAUAUGAUCAAUUUUAUUGUUUAUUUGGAAUGAAUUUGUCAAUUUUCAAAUUUAAAGGAGGAAGAUGUAGUACUCAGUGAAAAGCACCACCCUUUGGCAGGAAAAUUGGUGGUUGAGUGGUCUGAGUAAUCAAAUUACUUUAUCACUAGGGUGUCAACACUGAUGUUGUGAGUUCGAAUCCCACACUGUGUAGGUUCACUGAUCUCCAGUUUUGAUUAACUAGGAUUGUCAGUUUUCUUACUGAGUUUUGUGGUUCUCUCUGGGCACUCCAGCUUCCUCAACCAAUAAGAAUUGACCUCCAUGAAUAGUGUUGAAAGUGGUGUUAAAUACCUAUCAAUCAAGCAAUUAAUCAAUUAAUCAGAGAUGUGGGAUGUUUAUAGAUGUGAUUCUUUGGAAUAUAAUGUUUUGUAUAUUGUUGUUAAAGAGAUUACUAGCUUUACAAUUUACCAGAAUGUAUCAACUCCACAAAGUGUAUCAAUAUUCCAGAAGUGCUAUUUUACUAUUAAAAAUAAAUUUGAUUUUUGGUUUGUUUGUUAUCAAUGAACUUUUUUAAAGGUUAUCUAUCAUUGAUACAUGUUCUUACAAUGGUAAUCCAAAACCGACUACAAUUCAAAUCCGCCACCAAAUCACAACUUCUUUUAAAAAAUAAACCUACACCAAGACAAACCGCAAAGAAACAGUAAAACAAAAAUAAUGAACUCCAAAGAAAUUCAAAAAGGAAAGUCCCUUAUAAAAUUGCAAAAUCAAAAACUCAAGCACACCAAACAAAUGGAAAGCAACUGUCUUAUUUCUAACUUUGUACAGACAUUUCUAUUUCUGUAUGUAGAAAUUGAUGGAUUAAACUUGACUGUUUAAAAAAAUCCCCAUUUUUAUUCUGAUCUAAUACAAUCACUUGAUUUUGAAAAGUAAAUUCUCAGCUUUAUUAUUCCUUGUUUUACAGAAGUCUUCCAUCAGUCAUGAAGAUGAUAUUCAUUGUCGUAUACCUCAUUUUAAUGGUUCAGUGACUGCUUUAAAGAAAAAUACAAUUUUUAUGUCGUGAUUUUCCUACUUGCAUGUAACUAUAUUUGUUAUAUGAGUACUUUACAAGGUCUUCAUAUCCAUCCUACAGUAAUAAACUGACCUCUUCCUCAUUUCUUGGAUUAGCGAUCAACAUUAAUGUCUCACUAUAUGGUUUGUUUCUUACAUAGUCUA
This 2873-nucleotide long non-coding RNA is filed under the name Mytilus galloprovincialis (Mediterranean mussel). The record is from RNAcentral. Lineage: Eukaryota; Metazoa; Mollusca; Bivalvia; Mytilida; Mytilidae.